UCGAGAGGCUUCGGCAAUGGGGGAAACCCUGACCGAGCGACGCCGCGUGCGGGAUGAAGGUCUUCGGAUUGUAAACCGCUGUCAGAGGGGAAGAAUCCCCCCGGGAUAACACCUCGGGGGUUGACGGUACCCUCAAAGGAAGCUCCGGCUAACUCCGUGCCAGCAGCCGCGGUAAUACGGAGGGAGCGAACGUUGUUCGGAUUCACUGGGCGUAAAGGGCGUGUAGGCGGUCUGGCAAGUCAGGGGUGAAAUGCCACGGCUCAACCGUGGAAUUGCCUUUGAAACUACCGGACUUGAGGCCGUGAGAGGAGACUGGAAUUCCCAGUGUAGCGGUGAAAUGCAUAGAUAUUGGGAAGAACACCAGUGGCGAAAGGCGAGUCUCUGGCACGGUUCUGACGCUGAUGCGCGAAAAGCUAGGGGAGCAAACGGGAUUAGAUACCCCGGUAGUCCUAGCCGUAAACGAUGGGCACUAAGUGUCGGCCGAUCGACCCGUCGGUGCUGAAGCUAACGCGUU
Molecule: ribosomal RNA, 514 nt
Filed under: uncultured bacterium
Lineage: Bacteria
Description: bacterial SSU rRNA
Rfam family: Bacterial small subunit ribosomal RNA
Source: RNAcentral